This is a long non-coding RNA of Pseudomyrmex gracilis, 990 nucleotides long. RefSeq lists it as uncharacterized. The record is from RefSeq and is a predicted model, not a curated record. The transcript has 4 exons. NCBI's taxonomy places the organism in Eukaryota, Metazoa, Arthropoda, Insecta, Hymenoptera, Formicidae.
UUAAUUCAAGACGUUUCGACUCAGGUUUACUUCCAUCUACCUACGAGAGACUUUAAAGUAAUUGUCGAACGCUCUGAAUAUACACUGAAGUAUACUUAAUGUUUUCUCUCACGUAAUCUCUUUCUUACUCUGUUUCUCACUUUCUUUCUGUCUAUCCUCAAUCUUUUUUUUUUCUUGCAGUCUGUUUACUUUUCACUAAAUUUAUCAUAUACCUAAUGUAUAAUAAUGCGCUUUAAAUAUUUAUAAAACUGUCCUUUUUCAUCAUUGCGUUCAUACGAUUGUGACACGUGCAAAACAACUUUCCAACGUAAGUGAAAUAUGGAGCAACAAGUUACCAGUCAUCCUUCCUGUGAAAAACCUUAUAGGUGUCAAGUAUGCGAUAAAAGUUUUAGUACAAAACAAUAUUUAACUAACCAUGAAGCAGUUCAUUCAUUGUUGCGUCCGUACAAAUGUGACAUAUGCGAUACAGCUUUUACAACUAAGGCACAUUUAAAAAGCCAUAUCAAACGUCAUCUUAAAUAACCUUAUAAAUGCCAAGUGUGUGGUACUUUUUUCAAGUCACAAAUACAGGUAGAUGAACAUAGAAUUUGUGUUCAUUACACAUAUAAUAUAUGAGAAAAAAGUUUUAAAAAGAGUACUUUUUUGAGAAACAAGAUGUAUCAUGAAGGAAACAAUCAGAAGAAAAGUAUUCUAUUAACAUUAUUCUUGAUUGACGUUUCGACCGUCGUAUUCGGUCUUUUUCAAAAUCCUUAUAUAAUAACAAAUCGCUGGAGUUACGUAUGAUCAGUUCUGUUUUUUAAAGGUAAGAUCAUAGUAAGUUGUUAAUUUGAGUCAACGCAACGACAAUCAUGUCUUUACAAAGUGAUAACAGCAACUGGAAUUAGUUGCUCUUAUCACAAUAAGUUGCUGGUAUCACUUUGUAAAGACAGGAUCAUCGUUGCGUUGACUAUUCGUAAUAGAUAUGUAUGUAUAUACAUGUAUUAUAUGUAC